CAGCCGCCGCGGUAAUACCGGCGGCCCGAGUGGCGGUCACUAUUAUUGGGCUUAAAGCGUCCGUAGCCGGGUUGGGAAGUCCUCCGGGAAAUCUGGCCGCUUAACGGUCAGAAUGCCGGAGGAUACUCCCAGCCUAGGGAGCGGGAGAGGCCGAGGGUAUUCCCGGAGUAGGGGUGAAAUCCUAUAAUCCCGGGAGGACCACCUGUGGCGAAGGCGCUCGGCUGGAACGCGUCCGACGGUGAGGGACGAAGGCCAGGGGAGCAAACCGGAUUAGAUGCCCGGGUAGUCCUGGCUGUAAACGAUGCGGACUUUGUGUCGGACAAGCUAUGAGCUUGUCCGGUGCCGGAGGGAAACCGUUAAGUCCGCCGCCUGGGGAGUACGGCCGCAAGGCUGAAACUUAAAGGAAUUGGCGGG
This 414-nucleotide ribosomal RNA is filed under the name uncultured microorganism. RNAcentral describes it as "bacterial SSU rRNA". It matches the Rfam family "Archaeal small subunit ribosomal RNA", at positions 459 to 872 of the family's 1478-position model. The record is from RNAcentral.